GAACGCGAAGAACCUUACCCGGGCUUGAAUUGCAGACGUAGGAUACAGAGAUGUUGACUCCCUUCGGGGCGUCUGUGAAGGUGCUGCAUGGUUGUCGUCAGCUCGUGCCGUGAGGUGUCGGCUUAAGUGCCAUAACGAGCGCAACCCCUUUCCUUAGUUGCCAUCAGGUGAUGCUGGGCACUCUGGGGACACUGCCACCGCAAGGUGUGAGGAAGGUGGGGAUGACGUCAAAUCAGCACGGCCCUUACGUCCGGGGCUACACACGUGUUACAAUGGCCGGUACAGAGGGACGGUGCAAUGCAAAUUGCAUCCAAUCUUGAAAGCCGGUCCCAGUUCGGACUGAGGUCUGCAACCCGACCUCACGAAGCUGGAUUCGCUAGUAAUCGCGCAUCAGCCAUGGCGCGGUGAAUACGUUCCCGGGUCUUGUACACACC
Molecule: ribosomal RNA, 434 nt
Filed under: uncultured bacterium
Lineage: Bacteria
Description: bacterial SSU rRNA
Rfam family: Bacterial small subunit ribosomal RNA
Source: RNAcentral